UAUGUGCCUUGCGGAGUGACUUACGAGGUUUACAGCACAGGCAGCCCGAAGAUUUUUUUCCCUUCCCUCCAUGCUCCCAGUAGAUGGUUGGUUCAUUAACAAGAUGUGUUUGCUACAGGUUUUUCAAACCUUGCUUUGCUUUCUAGUGCAGCGGCACAAAGUGAUUCUCCUCCCCCUCCCAGAUUUUCCAGGCCUUGAAAACCUUGCUGUCUCGCUAAGUCACAGCCUGCCUGUUUACCCUAUGUACGUCCCCUUCCAGCAGGAUCAGAGCUCCUGUUGGUCACUCAACUUAACUCUGGGCAUCUUGCUGCUGAUACUGUUUAUUCUUUCACAAGUGCUGUCUAAGGAGACCCAGCACAUCCACAGGAGAUUCUUGGAGAGCCAGGCCUACUUACCAACAGUUAUUCCCAGGCAUGCAGGGUGCUAUUAGUUCCUAUGUCAAUCACAUCUUGUCUUUGCUUUCCAGCUAUCCACGUAAUGAAAGUAUUGACAAGCUAACGAAGGGUGAUGGAACAGCUCUUGUCAGAGGCCUUUCAUGAUUGCCUUGCCUUGAUGCUGGGAUGCUUAGGCCAGUAUUUUAGUCCUGAUAAACAGUGGAGCUUGACCUGCAGUUCAUAAUACCUCUGCCUUUCUACCCCAGGCCCCUACUGGGACCUGGCUUCUUAAGUCAGUAGCUCUGGGAAUUGAUUACUCAUACAGUGGCCAGUAUGCAUUGGGAACACCUUCACGUUAGCUGACAAAUCCCUGAGAAUGGACUCCUUUCUCUGCAGGACAAGAGAGAUGACAGCAGCCUCUGUCUAUCAGGUGAAGAUUACUCCACCAGUAGCCUCCUAUGUGUGUUUACUGUACAGAAAAAGGAGAACUGUGCCAAAUGAUUGAUAAGUCCCUUGCACCAAGGGGGGACACUGUGGAGCAGCGUGAUGGAGGAGUGGAGUGGUGGAUGGGGAGGGUAACUGGAAUGCUUCAUGGAAGAGGCAGGUUCCAUGGUGUCGAUGGGAAGGGGGUUUGCAUAAGUGCAUCUGGAGGCUGUUCAGGCAUAAAGGACAAAGUGGAAGAAGGUAUGAAGUCAGGAGUGGGCAAGUGAGACAAAGGAGGGAGGCUGAUGCAGAAUGAAGAGAGGGGAUCAGGUAGAAGGAGAUGAGGCUGCCAGAGAAAAAGGAUCACUGAUCCAGGCCUUCCCCCCCCAAUGAACAGCUGAGGAGCACUUCAAUGAGACACCAUCCACCAACCCGCCUCCCCGAGUGGAUGCACACAUGCUCCAGUGUCCAGCAGCAGCAGCAGCAGCACAGAUGCCAGGACAUCUCAGGAAGUGUGCCAACAUGGGAAGGAAUUAGGAGAGGGAAGUCCCCAAGUCGUCUUUGACUCCACCUCAGAUGACAAGCGAGCUGGGAUCUGUUCUCAAGACAGCAUAAAGUCAUGCGGGGCUCAGCAAGGUUGUCCAGAUGGCACCUUCUCUCGGGGGCCGUCUCAGCCUUGGCUGGAGAUGUGCUGUGACCCAAGGAGGUCACGAGCAGCGGUGCAGCCCAUCUGGGUGUGUGAUAGCCGAGAGAGGCAGUGGAUUGUGGGAAUGCUGGCGUCAGCACCACGAGGGCUUCCUGAGGCAGGGAAGCCAGCACUCAGCACUGUAGGAUCUGCUGCUCUGGAGCGGUGCCGCAUCACACUUGGGCAGCGCUGGAAUGCCCUGCUCAAAGCAACAGCCUGUGCGUCUCAUCCCAGGGGGUAAUCACACCAGCCUCCAGAUAUGCAGCAUGAUGUGGGCAGAUCCCUGCUAAAAGUCAGGUUUGGAGCCAUGUUAGGACUAGAGAGUUUUCUAUAGCACCCAUCAAGCUAGUAGCAUCGUUAUCUGAACAUGUCCCUGCAUUUAAACAGCUGAGGAGCUUGUGUCGUUCAGACCCAGAUCCACGCUGGCUCUUUAGGGAA
Molecule: long non-coding RNA, 1920 nt
Organism: Gopherus flavomarginatus (Mexican gopher tortoise)
Lineage: Eukaryota; Metazoa; Chordata; Testudines; Testudinidae
Exons: 5
Source: RefSeq, a predicted model, not a curated record